AGUUCAAGUCAAACCCGUCAAAUCUCCACGAAGACGUAAAUACGGGAUAUGUAAUCCAUCCUCGAAGCGAUGUGUUCAACACAACAUGAAGGCCCACACGAAGACGAAGCAAAUCCCAGAGCUACCCAUGAGUGGCCCGAUGCGCGCCAUCCACUCGCUCGCCGCGGCGCCGGCGGCGCCGGCGCCGGCGACGGAGACGGCGACGCGACCACUCCGGCGAAGGACCAGCGCCGCCCGCGCCUCGCGGGAGUCCUCGCGGCAGCCGCAAGCGCUUCCGGACCUCCCCUCUCGCCGGGCGGCGCUACUAGCGCUCGUCCUGGCCGGCUCGACGCCCCGCCCGCCCACCGCCGCCGCCGCCUUCUCCCUCGGCAUCCCUGGGCCGAAGGAGUUGCUGCGGGAGCAGAAGAAGAAGUCGGCGCGCUUCCUACUCGCGCCCAUCGCCGCCUCCCGCGAAAUCCUCCUCAAGGCCCAGAGCCUUCUCGCUUCGGCGAAUGUGGGUGCUGACGACGUCGAGGAGGUGGGGCGGAUGCUCGCCGCGGCGGGGCGAGACUGUGUGCCGCGGCAGAGGAACUCACUCGUCUCGCUGCAGUCGCGGAGCGGCGUUGAGGUCUGCACAUUCAGCUUGAUACUGAAGAAUGCCGCGUCGCUGCUCACGGAUAAGGACCCUCUCAAGGUUGAAGCUGAUGCUAGGCUUGCCGAGCUAAUACAGUCAUUCUCUGACCUGGGAACUGUGGUGGAUAACAGUAACAUUGAGCUCACUGCUGAUAGGGAGAAGAUGAAGGAUGGCUUGCUGAGCACCGUCUCUGCCAUCGAUAAAUUUGAACAGAGUGUUAAAGACUGUUUAGGUAUCUAGAAUUUUCUAGAAGCACCUUUGAGGAUUAAAUUAUUCCAGAGUAACCUAAAUCUACCCACGAGGUAAGGUUAAGCUCCUCUGUUCAUCAGAGCAUGUUGUUCUCCGACUAGCAUAUUUGAUUUGACAUAUCCUCUUUACAGUAAAAAUGGUCAUUCCAUAGCAUGGAAAAUGAAAUAUCAGAAGUAAUUAGGGAGGUUUGUUUAUAGAAGGUUAUCUUUUUCUUUCUUUAGUUCAAUCAUUCCCUUCAAUAUCUUCUGUCUGUUGUGCACUUGUGCUCCACUAAUUACCGGCCAGCAUAGCAUCACUAAAAUCGUUAUCCAUUUACUUCUUAAACUUUUAGUUUCUUAGGAUUAUCUUGUUCUUGAUACUCAUUAAACUAACGGAAAUAAAAUUUAAUGGGAUAUUUACUUCCUCUUUUUUUAGUCCAACAUAAGCUUGAUUAUACUAAUUGAUUCUUACUAAAUAAACUGCGACUAUUUGGAAGCUAUUAUGCAGUAAUGGAUAAUAGGGAAAAACCUUGGUAAUACAAUUUUUACCUUGAACUGAAUGGGAACUAUACAAAUACAAGUCACAUACUAACAUCAGGUUUGAAAUUUUGAAUGGUAAUGAAUUCUGCAAGCAAUCAGGGAAAGAUGGGGGGGAAGCCAUAAUCAUUUUCAAAUGACUAUUCAAUGGACCUAAAUGUCCUCUUUAGCGGUCAGCCUUCCACCAAAUACAAUCUGCUUCAUGGUGUGCCAUCCUCUGGGUUUGUCUCCACUGAUCUUGGCAAUCUCAGUUUAUCAAACAGGUUCUGUGGGUGACAUAGCAGCCCAGCGUGCGUGCUUGUAGAUCUCCAAUUUGUGACCGAGUUACCUGAGAGAACUCAAUAGAAGGCAGCAGGAGAUCAGGCCUGUCAUGGUAGAAAUGGUUUAACGCACCAGCAGUUGAUGAAGAUGAUGCUGAAACCGUAUGUGUGUAAUACUAAUCGUGGAGAUACAAUCCAACAGUUUCAUGAUGUACAUCCUGCCAACAGAUGAUAAUGCGAUGAAGGGAUCUAACAGUAAAUGCCAAUAUGAAAAGCAAAUAUAAAUAUCAGGGCAUUAGAGUCCAUUCCCUAUUUGAAGCUGACGUGCUCUGUGGAGUCCAGAAACAAUAUUAUGAAAGAGUGACAUUGUUGGAUAGCUUUGUUCUUGCUGUUAUGUUGCUGGGUGUCUCCAUUUCGACUUUUCAAGCCCCAAUUAUUUCCCUUUUCUUUCUUUUAGUCUAUAUGCACCUAUGCAAGGUUAUACUCUAAACAUAGAUAAUGUAUCUCGCAUUCUUAGCCCUACUAAUCUUCCGUAACGAGACCAUAGUUUUCUCUUCUUUUUUUCUCA
Molecule: RNA transcript, 2205 nt
Organism: Oryza sativa Japonica Group (Japanese rice)
Lineage: Eukaryota; Viridiplantae; Streptophyta; Magnoliopsida; Poales; Poaceae
Source: RefSeq, a predicted model, not a curated record